Molecule: ribosomal RNA, 710 nt
Filed under: Bacillus thuringiensis
Lineage: Bacteria; Bacillati; Bacillota; Bacilli; Caryophanales; Bacillaceae
Description: bacterial SSU rRNA
Rfam family: Bacterial small subunit ribosomal RNA
Source: RNAcentral
GCAGUCGAGCGAAUGGAUUAGAGAGCUUGCUCUUAUGAAGUUAGCGGCGGACGGGUGAGUAACACGUGGGUAACCUGCCCAUAAGACUGGGAUAACUCCGGGAAACCGGGGCUAAUACCGGAUAACAUUUUGAACCGCAUGGUUCGAAAUUGAAAGGCGGCUUCGGCUGUCACUUAUGGAUGGACCCGCGUCGCAUUAGCUAGUUGGUGAGGUAACGGCUCACCAAGGCAACGAUGCGUAGCCGACCUGAGAGGGUGAUCGGCCACACUGGGACUGAGACACGGCCCAGACUCCUACGGGAGGCAGCAGUAGGGAAUCUUCCGCAAUGGACGAAAGUCUGACGGAGCAACGCCGCGUGAGUGAUGAAGGCUUUCGGGUCGUAAAACUCUGUUGUUAGGGAAGAACAAGUGCUAGUUGAAUAAGCUGGCACCUUGACGGUACCUAACCAGAAAGCCACGGCUAACUACGUGCCAACAGCCGCGGUAAUACGUAGGUGGCAAGCGUUAUCCGGAAUUAUUGGGCGUAAAGCGCGCGCAGGUGGUUUCUUAAGUCUGAUGUGAAAGCCCACGGCUCAACCGUGGGAGGGUCAUUGGAAACUGGGAGACUUGAGUGCAGAAGAGGAAAGUGGAAUUCCAUGUGUAGCGGUGAAAUGCGUAGAGAUAUGGAGGAACACCAGUGGCGAAGGCGACUUUCUGGUCUGUAACUGACAC